This 424-nucleotide ribosomal RNA is filed under the name uncultured bacterium. RNAcentral's name for it is "bacterial SSU rRNA". It matches the Rfam family "Bacterial small subunit ribosomal RNA", at positions 355 to 796 of the family's 1533-position model. The record is from RNAcentral.
UAACGAAUCUUCCGCAAUGCACGAAAGUGUGACGGAGCGACGCCGCGUGUGGGACGAAGCCCUUCGGGAUGUAAACCACUGUCAGGGGUUACCAAGUUCUGAGGAGCCCCAGAGGAAGGCACGGCUAACUCUGUGCCAGCAGCCGCGGUAAGACAGAGGUGCCAAGCGUUAGGCGGAAUCACUGGGCUUAAAGCGUGUGUAGGCGGACUGGUAAGUACCUUGUGAAAUCCCACGGCUCAACCGUGGAACUGCUUGGUAUACUGCUUGUCUUGAGCCACUUAGGGGCUGUCGGAACAAACGGUGGAGCGGUGAAAUGCGUAGAUAUCGUUUGGAACGCCAACGGUGAAAACAGACAGCUGGGAGUGUGCUGACGCUGAGACACGAAAGCCAGGGGAGCGAACGGGAUUAGAUACCCCCGUAGUCC